CCCUGCUCCUCCAUGAUAGGUCAGCUACAUCAUCACCCUGCUCCUCCAUGAUAGGUCAGCUAACAUCAUCACCCCUGCUCCUCCAUGAUAGGUCAGCUACAUCAUCACCCCUGCUCCUCCAUGAUAGGUCAGCUACAUUGUCAUCCUGCUAAUCCAUGAUAGGUCAGCUCCAUCAUCACCCUUGCUCCUCCAUCAAUGGUCAGCUAGAUCAUCACCCCUGCUCCUCCAUGAUAGGUCAGCUACAUAAUCGACCCUGCUCCUCCAUGAUAGGUCAGCUACAUCAUCACCCCUGCUCCUCCAUGAUAGGUCAGCUACAUCAUCCUACUCCUCCAUGAUAGGUCAGCUACAUCAUCACUACUGCUCCUCCAUGAUAGGUCAGCUACAUCAUCACCCCUGCUCCUCCAUGAUAUGUCAGCUACAUCAUCACCCCUGCUCCUCCAUGAUAUGUCAGCUAAAUCAUCACCCCUGCUCCUCCAUGAUAGGUCAGCUACAUCAUCACCCCUGCUCCUCCGUGAUAGGUCAGCUACAUCAUCACCCCUGCUCCUCCAUGAUAGGUCAGCUACAUCAUCACCCCUGCUCCUCCAUGAUAGGUAAGCUACAUCAUUCUGCUCCUCCAUGAUAGGUCAGCUACAUCAUCACCCCUGCACCUCCAUUAUAGGUCAGCUACAUCAUCGCUCCUGCUCCUCCCUGAUAGGUAAGCCACAUAAUUCUGCUCCUCCAUGAUAGGUCAGCUACAUCAUCACUCCUGCUCCUUCAUGAUAGGUCAGCUACAUCAUCACCCCUGCUCCUCCAUGAUAGGUCAGCUACAACAUCACCACUGCUACUCUAUGAUAGGUCAGCUACAUCAUCAUCCCUGCUCCUCCAUGAUAGGUCAGCUACAUCAUCACCCCUGCUCCUCCAUGAUAGGUCAGCUACAUCAUCACCCCUGCUCCUCCAUGAUAGGUCAGCUACAUCAUCACCCCUGCUCCUCCAUUAUAGGUCAGCUACAUCAUCUCUCCUGCUCCUCCAUGAUAGGUCAGCUACAUCAUCAUCCUGCUCCUCCAUGAUAGGUCAGCUACAUCAUCACCC
This 1068-nucleotide long non-coding RNA is filed under the name Salmo salar (Atlantic salmon). Its description in RNAcentral is "lncRNA (ENSSSAG00000089971.1)". The record is from RNAcentral. Lineage: Eukaryota; Metazoa; Chordata; Actinopteri; Salmoniformes; Salmonidae.